This 72-nucleotide transfer RNA is filed under the name Pangasianodon gigas (Mekong giant catfish). RNAcentral describes it as "tRNA-Glu". It matches the Rfam family "tRNA". Rfam says of the family: Transfer RNA (tRNA) molecules are approximately 80 nucleotides in length. Lineage: Eukaryota; Metazoa; Chordata; Actinopteri; Siluriformes; Pangasiidae. The record is from RNAcentral.
UUCCUGGAGGAUGACUGGUUAGGCCACAGUGCUCUCAACACCGUGGCCUGGGUUCGAUUCCCGGCCAGGGAA